GAUGAACGCUAGCGGCAGGCUUAACACAUGCAAGUCGAGGGGGUAACAGAGAAAAGCUUGCUUUUUUGCUGACGACCGGCGCACGGGUGCGUAACGCGUAUGCAAUCUACCUUUUGCUGAGGGAUAGCCCAGAGAAAUUUGGAUUAAUACCUCAUAGUAUGGUGACUUGGCAUCAAGAUAUCAUUAAAGGUUACGGCAAAAGAUGAGCAUGCGUUCUAUUAGCUAGUUGGUGUGGUAACGGCAUACCAAGGCAACGAUAGAUAGGGGUCCUGAGAGGGAGAUCCCCCACACUGGUACUGAGACACGGACCAGACUCCUACGGGAGGCAGCAGUGAGGAAUAUUGGACAAUGGAGGCAACUCUGAUCCAGCCAUGCCGCGUGCAGGAAGACUGCCCUAUGGGUUGUAAACUGCUUUUAUACAGGAAGAAACACCUCUACGUGUAGAGGCUUGACGGUACUGUAAGAAUAAGGAUCGGCUAACUCCGUGCCAGCAGCCGCGGUAAUACGGAGGAUCCAAGCGUUAUCCGGAAUCAUUGGGUUUAAAGGGUCCGUAGGUGGAUAAUUAAGUCAGAGGUGAAAUCCUGCAGCUUAACUGUAGAAUUGCCUUUGAUACUGGUUGUCUUGAGUUAUUAUGAAGUAGUUAGAAUAUGUAGUGUAGCGGUGAAAUGCAUAGAUAUUACAUAGAAUACCAAUUGCGAAGGCAGAUUACUAAUAAUAUACUGACACUGAUGAACGAAAAGAGCGG
Molecule: ribosomal RNA, 745 nt
Filed under: Mesoflavibacter zeaxanthinifaciens
Lineage: Bacteria; Pseudomonadati; Bacteroidota; Flavobacteriia; Flavobacteriales; Flavobacteriaceae
Description: bacterial SSU rRNA
Rfam family: Bacterial small subunit ribosomal RNA
Source: RNAcentral